RNAcentral lists this ribosomal RNA (457 nucleotides) under uncultured bacterium. RNAcentral describes it as "bacterial SSU rRNA". It matches the Rfam family "Bacterial small subunit ribosomal RNA", at positions 340 to 786 of the family's 1533-position model. The record is from RNAcentral.
UACGGAAGGCAGCAGUGGGGAAUAUUGCACAAUGGGCGCAAGCCUGAUGCAGCCAUGCCGCGUGUAUGAAGAAGGGCCUUCGGGUUGUAAAGUACUUUCAGUCGUGAGGAAGGUGUUAAGGUUAAUAACCUUAGCAAUUGACGUUAGCGACAGAAGAAGCACCGGCUAACUCCGUGCCAGCAGCCGCGGUAAUACGGAGGGUGCGAGCGUUAAUCGGAAUUACUGGGCGUAAAGGGCACGCAGGCGGUUAAUUAAGUUGGAUGUGAAAUCCCCGGGCUUAACCUGGGAAUGGCAUUCAAGACUGGUUAGCUAGAGUCUUGUAGAGGGGGUAGAAUUCCAUGUGUAGCGGUGAAAUGCGUAGAGAUGUGGAGGAAUACCGGUGGCGAAGGCGGCCCCUGGGACAAAGGACUGACGCUCAUGUGCGAAAGCGUGGGGAGCGAAACAGGGAUUAGAUACC